AGUGAGCGCUGGCGGUAGGCCUAACACAUGCAAGUCGAACGGCAGCACAGUAAGAGCUUGCUCUUACGGGUGGCGAGUGGCGGACGGGUGAGGAAUACAUCGGAAUCUACUUUUUCGUGGGGGAUAACGUAGGGAAACUUACGCUAAUACCGCAUACGACCUACGGGUGAAAGCAGGGGAUCUUCGGACCUUGCGCGAUUGAAUGAGCCGAUGUCGGAUUAGCUAGUUGGCGGGGUAAAGGCCCACCAAGGCGACGAUCCGUAGCUGGUCUGAGAGGAUGAUCAGCCACACUGGAACUGAGACACGGUCCAGACUCCUACGGGAGGCAGCAGUGGGGAAUAUUGGACAAUGGGCGCAAGCCUGAUCCAGCCAUACCGCGUGGGUGAAGAAGGCCUUCGGGUUGUAAAGCCCUUUUGUUGGGAAAGAAAAGCAGCAGGUUAAUACCCCGCUGUUCUGACGGUACCCAAAGAAUAAGCACCGGCUAACUUCGUA
RNAcentral lists this ribosomal RNA (492 nucleotides) under uncultured bacterium. Its description in RNAcentral is "partial 16S ribosomal RNA". It matches the Rfam family "Bacterial small subunit ribosomal RNA", at positions 29 to 507 of the family's 1533-position model. The record is from RNAcentral.